This 305-nucleotide small RNA is filed under the name Pongo abelii (Sumatran orangutan). RNAcentral describes it as "processed transcript". The record is from RNAcentral. Lineage: Eukaryota; Metazoa; Chordata; Mammalia; Primates; Hominidae.
CGCGACCUCAGGCGCCAUUUUGUAGAGAAACAAGCGGAGUUAACCGAAGAGGGGGUCGGGGAGAGCCGGAGUCGGGGACCCAGGAGUUUCCUGUGUCCAGCGCUGCCGGAGCCGCCUGAGGUGACCAGCACCCAUGCAGAAACUACCUAGAAGUUGCCAAGCUAUCAGUCAACUCAGCAUACAAAAAGAAACUUAACCAUUCUAAGGAUCUUAGAAGUUGUAUGCCAGGAAAUGGGAUGAAGACCAAAUGUAUAUCUCACAAUAAAUAUUACAGUAAUGUUGAAGUAAUUAUUUGAAAUAUAAAA